This 428-nucleotide ribosomal RNA is filed under the name uncultured bacterium. RNAcentral describes it as "bacterial SSU rRNA". It matches the Rfam family "Bacterial small subunit ribosomal RNA", at positions 355 to 775 of the family's 1533-position model. The record is from RNAcentral.
UGGGGAAUUUUGCGCAAUGGGCUAACGCCUGACGCAGCAACGCCGCGUGGAGGAUGAAGGUCUUUGGAUUGUAAACUCCUGUCGGCCGGGAAAAAGCAACUCGACCUAACACGUCGAGAAGUUGAUUGUACCGGCGGAGGAAGCCCGGGCUAACUCUGUGCCAGCAGCCGCGGUAAUACAGAGGGGGCAAGCGUUAUUCGGAAUUAUUGGGCGUAAAGGGCGCGUAGGCGGCUUGGCAAGUGGAAGGUGAAAUCCCUCGGCUUAACCGAGGAACUGCCCUCCAAACUGCCUGGCUUGAGACCGGGAGAGGUGAGUGGAAUUCCCAGUGUAGCGGUGAAAUGCGUAGAUAUUGGGAGGAACACCAGUGGCGAAGGCGGCUCACUGGACCGGUACUGACGCUGAUGCGCGAAAGCGUGGGGAGCAAACGG